Molecule: ribosomal RNA, 253 nt
Filed under: uncultured bacterium
Lineage: Bacteria
Description: partial 16S ribosomal RNA
Rfam family: Bacterial small subunit ribosomal RNA
Source: RNAcentral
UACGUAGGGACCGAGCGUUGUCCGGAAUCAUUGGGCGUAAAGAGCGUGUAGGCGACCACUUAAGUCCUGCGUGAAAUCCUGCGGCUCAACCGCAGGCGGUCGUGGGAAACUGGGUGGCUAGAGUGCGGGAGAGGAGAGUGGAAUUCCUGGUGUAGCGGUGGAAUGCGCAGAUAUCAGGAAGAACACCCGUGGCGAAGGCGGCUCUCUGGAACGCAACUGACGCUGAGACGCGAAAGCGUGGGGAGCAAACAGG